AGGUUUUUUUACCCCCCCCGGGCUAACUAGCAUUCAAUAAGCGGAGGAAAAGAAACCAACCGGGGAUUGCCCUAGUAACGGCGAGUGAAGCGGCAAGAGCUCAAAUUUGAAAGCUGGCUCCUUCGGGGUCCGCAUUGUAAUUUGCAGAGGAUGCUUCGGAAUCGGCCCCCCAUUUAAGUGCCCUGGAACGGGCCGUCAUAGAGGGUGAGAAUCCCGUUCUGGGAUGGGGUGUCCGUGCCCGUGUGAAGCUCCUUCGACGAGUCGAGUUGUUUGGGAAUGCAGCUCUAAUUGGGUGGUAAAUUUCAUCUAAAGCUAAAUAUUGGCCGGAGACCGAUAGCGCACAAGUAGAGUGAUCGAAAGAUGAAAAGCACUUUGAAAAGAGAGUUAAAAAGCACGUGAAAUUGUUGAAAGGGAAGCGCUUGCGACCAGACUCGCCCGCGGGGUUCAGCCGGCAUUCGUGCCGGUGUACUUCCCCGCGGGCGGGCCAGCGUCGGUUUGGGCGGCCGGUCAAAGGCCCCUGGAAUGUAACGCCUCUCGGGGCGUCUUAUAGCCAGGGGUGCCAUGCGGCCUGCCCGGACCGAGGAACGCGCUUCGGCUCGGACGCUGGCAUAAUGGUCGUAAGCGACCCGUCUUGAAACACGGACCAAGGAGUCUAACAUCUACGCGAGUGUUCGGGUGUCAAACCCGUGCGCGCAGUGAAAGCGAACGGAGGUGGGAACCCCCCGGGGUGCACCAUCGACCGAUCCUGAUGUCUUCGGAUGGAUUUGAGUAAGAGCGUAGCUGUUGGGACCCGAAAGAUGGUGAACUAUGCCUGAAUAGGGCGAAGCCAGAGGAAACUCUGGUGGAGGCUCGCAGCGGUUCUGACGUGCAAAUCGAUCGUCAAAUUUGGGUAUAGGGGCGAAAGACUAAUCGAACCCCUUU
This 921-nucleotide ribosomal RNA is filed under the name Penicillium steckii. Its description in RNAcentral is "eukaryotic LSU rRNA". It matches the Rfam family "Eukaryotic large subunit ribosomal RNA", at positions 1 to 946 of the family's 3401-position model. Lineage: Eukaryota; Fungi; Ascomycota; Eurotiomycetes; Eurotiales; Aspergillaceae. The record is from RNAcentral.